This 253-nucleotide ribosomal RNA is filed under the name uncultured bacterium. Its description in RNAcentral is "partial 16S ribosomal RNA". It matches the Rfam family "Bacterial small subunit ribosomal RNA", at positions 524 to 776 of the family's 1533-position model. The record is from RNAcentral.
UACGUAGGUAGCGAGCGUUGUUCGGAGUUACUGGGCGUAAAGGGUGUGUAGGCGGUUGUUUAAGUUUGGUGUGAAAUCUCCCGGCUCAACUGGGAGGGUGCGCCGAAUACUGAAUGACUAGAGUGCGGGAGAGGAAAGUGGAAUUCCUGGUGUAGCGGUGAAAUGCGUAGAUAUCGGGAGGAACACCAGUGGCGAAGGCGGCUUUCUGGGCCUUACCUGACGCUGAGACGCGAAAGCGUGGGGAGCGAACCGG